Molecule: non-coding RNA, 25 nt
Filed under: Rattus norvegicus (Norway rat)
Lineage: Eukaryota; Metazoa; Chordata; Mammalia; Rodentia; Muridae
Source: RNAcentral
CUAAAUUGCUGUGUGCUCCGCCAUA